RNAcentral lists this ribosomal RNA (253 nucleotides) under uncultured bacterium. Its description in RNAcentral is "partial 16S ribosomal RNA". It matches the Rfam family "Bacterial small subunit ribosomal RNA", at positions 524 to 776 of the family's 1533-position model. The record is from RNAcentral.
UACGUGGGGGGCAAGCGUUGUUCGGAAUUACUGGGCGUAAAGGGUUCGUAGGCGGUGCGGCAAGUUGGGUGUGAAAUCUCUGGGCUUAACCCAGAGGCUGCUUCCAAAACUGCUGUGCUUGAGUGUGGGAGAGGCGCGUGGAAUUGCAGGUGUAGCGGUGAAAUGCGUAGAUAUCUGCAGGAACACCCGUGGCGAAAGCGGCGCGCUGGACCACUACUGACGCUGAGGAACGAAAGCGAGGGGAGCAAACAGG